Molecule: ribosomal RNA, 497 nt
Filed under: uncultured bacterium
Lineage: Bacteria
Description: partial 16S ribosomal RNA
Rfam family: Bacterial small subunit ribosomal RNA
Source: RNAcentral
GAUGAACGCUGGCGGCGUGCCUAAUACAUGCAAGUCGAGCGAACGGACGAGAAGCUUGCUUCUCUGAUGUUAGCGGCGGACGGGUGAGUAACACGUGGAUAACCUACCUAUAAGACUGUGAUAACUUCGGGAAACCGGAGCUACUACCGGAUAAUAUUUUGAACCUCAUGGUUCAAAAGUGAAAGACGGUCUUGCUGUCACUUAUAGAUGGAUCCGAGCUGCAUUAGCUAGUUGGUAAGGUAACGGAUUACCAAGGCGGCGAUGCAUAGCCGACCUGAGAGCGACGAUCAGUAGCUGGUCUGAGAGGAAGAUCAGCCACACUGAGGGUGGGACACAGUAGGGAAUCCUCCGGGAGGGGGGAGUGCCGGACGGAGCGACGCGGGGGGAGGGCUGACGCUGCCAGGCCGGGAGAACGAUGUAAGUAGUGAGAAAGUAAUGUGUUAGUAACGGUGAAGAUCUUGACGGUACCUGGUGAGGAAGCCACGGCUAACUACGUG